GCCUAGCCCUAAACCUCAACAGUUAAAUCAACAAAACUGCUCGCCAGAACACUACGAGCCACAGCUUAAAACUCAAAGGACCUGGCGGUGCUUUAUAUCCUUC
Molecule: ribosomal RNA, 103 nt
Filed under: Chordata environmental sample
Lineage: Eukaryota; Metazoa; Chordata
Description: partial 12S ribosomal RNA
Source: RNAcentral